AGUGAACGCUGGCGGUAGGCCUAACACAUGCAAGUCGAACGGCAGCACAGUAAGAGCUUGCUCUUACGGGUGGCGAUUUGCGGACGGGUGAGGAAUACAUCGGAAUCUACUUUUUCGUGGGGGAUAACGUAGGGAAACUUACGCUAAUACCGCAUACGACCUACGGGUGAAAGCAGGGGAUCUUCGGACCUUGCGCGAUUGAAUGAGCCGAUGUCGGAUUAGCUAGUUGGCGGGGUAAAGGCCCACCAAGGCGACGAUCCGUAGCUGGUCUGAGAGGAUGAUCAGCAACACUGGAACUGAGACACGGUCCAGACUCCUACGGGAGGCAGCAGUGGGGAAUAUUGGACAAUGGGAGCAAGCCUGAUCCAGCCAUACCGCGUGGGUGAAGAAGGCCUUCGGGUUGUAAAGCCCUUUUGUUGGGAAAGAAAAGCAGCAGGUUAAUACCCCGCUGUUCUGACGGUACCCAAAGAAUAAGCACAGGCUAACUUCGUG
RNAcentral lists this ribosomal RNA (492 nucleotides) under uncultured bacterium. RNAcentral's name for it is "partial 16S ribosomal RNA". It matches the Rfam family "Bacterial small subunit ribosomal RNA", at positions 29 to 507 of the family's 1533-position model. The record is from RNAcentral.